CUGGCUCAGGAUGAACGCUGGCGGUCUGCUUAACACAUGCAAGUCGAACGCAACCUUCGGGUUGAGUGGCGGACGGGUGAGUAACGCGUGAGAAUCUGCCUUGGGGUCGGGGACAACCACUGGAAACGGUGGCUAAUACCGGAUAAGCCUUUGGGUAAAAAAUUUAUUGCCCCAAGAGGAGCUCGCGUCUGAUUAGCUAGUUGGUGAGGUAAAAGCUCACCAAGGCAGCGAUCAGUAGCUGGUCUGAGAGGACGAUCAGCCACACUGGGACUGAGACACGGCCCAGACUCCUACGGGAGGCAGCAGUGGGGAAUUUUCCGCAAUGGGCGAAAGCCUGACGGAGCAAGACCGCGUGAGGGAGGAAGGCUCUUGGGUUGUAAACCUCUUUUCUCAGGGAAGAAGCUCUGACGGUACCUGAGGAAUCAGCCUCGGCUAACUCCGUGCCAGCAGCCGCGGUAAUACGGAGGAGGCAAGCGUUAUCCGGAAUUAUUGGGCGUAAAGCGUCCGCAGGUGGCGAUUCAAGUCUGCUGUCAAAGCACGGGGCUUAACUCCGUUAAGGCAGUGGAAACUGAAUAGCUAGAGUACCGUAGGGGUAGAGGGAAUUCCCGGUGUAGCGGUGAAAUGCGUAGAGAUCGGGAAGAACAUCGGUGGCGAAAGCGCUCUACUGGACGGCAACUGACACUCAGGGACGAAAGCUAGGGGAGCGAAUGGGAUUAGAUACCCCAGUAGUCCUAGCUGUAAACGAUGGAUACUAGGUGUAGCUUGUAUCGACCCGAGCUGUGCCGAAGCUAACGCGUUAAGUAUCCCGCCUGGGGAGUACGCACGCAAGUGUGAAACUCAAAGGAAUUGACGGGGGGCCCGCACAAGCGGUGGAGUAUGUGGUUUAAUUCGAUGCAACGCGAAG
RNAcentral lists this ribosomal RNA (904 nucleotides) under uncultured organism. RNAcentral describes it as "bacterial SSU rRNA". It matches the Rfam family "Bacterial small subunit ribosomal RNA", at positions 19 to 966 of the family's 1533-position model. The record is from RNAcentral.